This 103-nucleotide ribosomal RNA is filed under the name Elaphe hodgsoni. Its description in RNAcentral is "Elaphe hodgsonii partial 16S ribosomal RNA". Lineage: Eukaryota; Metazoa; Chordata; Lepidosauria; Squamata; Colubridae. The record is from RNAcentral.
GCUAGAUAUAUUGACCCAAACAUAUAAACUAAACUAAAACAAAACAUUUGACCCACCAAGUAGAUGUGAUCGAACAGUCAAAUUAACAAUACUAGUACCGCAA